Molecule: non-coding RNA, 135 nt
Organism: Triticum aestivum (bread wheat)
Lineage: Eukaryota; Viridiplantae; Streptophyta; Magnoliopsida; Poales; Poaceae
Source: Rfam
GAAAUACUCCCUCCGUUCAACAAUACUUGUCAUCAAAACGGAUAAAAAGGGAUGUAUCUAAAGCUAAAAUACAUCUACAUAUAUUUCUUUUUCUUAAUUUUGAUGACAAGUAUUUUCGGAGAGAGGGAGUAGAUG